AUUUUUCUGUUUCUGCCUGCAGACGUGCACUGAGAGAUGCUGAGACACACACACCUGUAGCACAUGCUGAUAAGCCCCACUCUCCAUGCUACCUGCUGCCAGAUGAUUUUGUCAGUCAGAUGUGUUACCACCUACGAUCCAGGCGACUCAGUUUCCAGCAACCCAGCUUUCAGCAUCUCUGUAGGAAACAGCUUUGCCCUGCAUUCACCAGAGUAUGUACACACCACAAAACCCACCAGUGCCACCAUGACCUGUCUCCCUUCCUCCUUCCACCUCUCGGACUCUGACUCAUGCCUGUCUAGCUUACUACUCUCACCUGCAAUAACCGUGUUCCGUCAAUAAAUAACCUUGCUCUCCUGA
Long non-coding RNA from Acanthopagrus latus (yellowfin seabream), 360 nucleotides. RefSeq lists it as uncharacterized. The transcript is spliced from 2 exons. NCBI's taxonomy places the organism in Eukaryota, Metazoa, Chordata, Actinopteri, Spariformes, Sparidae. The record is from RefSeq and is a predicted model, not a curated record.